UCGAGAAUCUUCGGCAAUGGGCGCAAGCCUGACCGAGCGACGCCGCGUGGAGGACGAAGGCCUUCGGGUUGUAAACUCCUGUCGAGGGGGAGGAAGGGGCAACCUUGACCGAUCCCUGGAGGAAGCACGGGCUAAGUUCGUGCCAGCAGCCGCGGUAAGACGAACCGUGCGAACGUUAUUCGGAAUCACUGGGCUUAAAGCGCGUGUAGGCGGAUGGGCGCGUCGGCCGCUGAAAUCCCCCGGCUCAACCGGGGAAGUGGCGCCGAAACGGCCCGUCUGGAGGGGGGUAGGGGGCGCUGGAACUCACGGUGGAGCGGUGAAAUGCGUUGAGAUCGUGAGGAACGCCCGCGGCGAAAGCGAGCGCCUGGACCCUUUCUGACGCUGAGACGCGAAAGCCAGGGGAGCGAACGGGAUUAGAUACCCCCGUAGUCC
RNAcentral lists this ribosomal RNA (432 nucleotides) under uncultured bacterium. RNAcentral describes it as "bacterial SSU rRNA". It matches the Rfam family "Bacterial small subunit ribosomal RNA", at positions 355 to 796 of the family's 1533-position model. The record is from RNAcentral.